This 329-nucleotide ribosomal RNA is filed under the name uncultured bacterium. Its description in RNAcentral is "bacterial SSU rRNA". It matches the Rfam family "Bacterial small subunit ribosomal RNA", at positions 568 to 898 of the family's 1533-position model. The record is from RNAcentral.
CGCGUAGGUGGUAGUGUAAGUCUGGGGUGGAAUCCCAGGGCUUAACCCUGGAACUGCCUUGGAAACUGCAUUACUUGAGUCAGUGAGGGGAGGGUAGAAUUCCUGGUGUAGCGAUGAAAUGCGUAGAUAUCAGGAGGAAGGCCUGUGGCGAAGGCGGCCCUCUGGCGCUGGACUGACACUGAGGCGCGAAAGCGUGGGGAGCAAACAGGAUUAGAUACCCUGGUAGUCCACGCCCUAAACGGUGGGCACUAGGUGUAGGGCUCGUAAGGGUUCUGUGCCGAAGGGAACCAUUAAGUGCCCCGCCUGGGGAGUACGGCCGCAAGGUUGAA